UAAAAAACAAAACAACAAGACGAAGCCAAAAGAAGGCYAGGAGCACUGCAGACCCUUUGCAGUGAUUUGAUUUUGCCCUAAAACGCUGAGGAAUCUUGCAAGGCAGAAUGGUUAACUCAGAGGUGACCUAAAGUUCAGCUCAAGAGACUGGUGCAGUGCUGACGUCUGGAGGACCGUUAAAUUCUUAGGAUGUAAGAUCUCGGAAGUGCACACGUGCUUGCCUGUGAUGUAAGCUCACAGGGUUCCAGUUCUUCCUGGAAAUCCACUGUUACCUUUUUGUUGUGGUUAAGGGAGAGAAAAAGAAAAAAGAAA
Nothoprocta perdicaria is the source of this 312-nucleotide long non-coding RNA. RefSeq lists it as uncharacterized. Lineage: Eukaryota; Metazoa; Chordata; Aves; Tinamiformes; Tinamidae. The transcript is spliced from 4 exons. The record is from RefSeq and is a predicted model, not a curated record.